Molecule: unclassified non-coding RNA, 2770 nt
Filed under: uncultured fungus
Lineage: Eukaryota; Fungi
Description: sequence contains 18S rRNA gene, ITS1, 5.8S rRNA gene, ITS2, 28S rRNA gene
Source: RNAcentral
UGGCCGGGUUGCUCAGGGCGCUGCAGCAGCGCACUUCUCUGGACACCAGCCAGGUCGAUGACGUGGUGCUGGGCUGCGUGACGCCGGUCGGCGAUCAAGGCGCCGACAUCGCCAAAACCGCGACACAAGUGGCCGAUUGGGACGUCAGCGUGGCAGGUGUGCAGAUCAACCGCUUCUGCGCGUCGGGGCUCGAGGCGGUGAAUCUCGGGGCGAUGAAAGUGCGUUCCGGCUUUGAAGAACUGGUGGUGGUCGGUGGCGUCGAGUCGAUGUCCAGGGUGCCGAUGGGCAGCGACGGCGGCGCCUGGGCGCUGGACCCGGAAACCAAUCUGCACAGCCAUUUCACACCGCAAGGCGUGGGCGCCGACCUGAUCGCCACCCUUGAAGGCUUCAGCCGUCAGGACGUCGAUGCCUACGCGCUGCAUUCCCAGCAAAAAGCCGCGCGGGCCCGGGCCGAUGGAUCGUUCAGUAAAUCGCUGGUGCCGGUACGGGACCAGAACGGCAUUCUCCUGCUCGAUCACGAUGAGUUCAUCCGCGCCGACUCCACGCUUGAAGGCCUGGGCAAGCUCAAGCCGAGCUUCGAGAUGAUGGGGCAAAUGGGCUUCGAUGCCACGGCGUUGCGGGUCUACAGCCACGUCGAGCGAAUCAACCAUGUGCACACGCCGGGCAACAGUUCCGGGAUCGUCGAUGGCGCGGCGCUGAUGUUGAUCGGCUCCGAAGCCAAGGGGCGCGCGCUGGGCUUGCAGCCACGGGCGCGGAUCGUCGCCACGGCGGUUACCAGCACCGACCCGACCAUCAUGCUCACCGGCCCGGCGCCGGCCACGCGCAAGGCGCUGGCCAAGGCCGGGCUGCGGGUCGAAGACAUCGACCUGUUCGAGGUCAACGAGGCGUUUGCCUCUGUCGUACUGAAAUUCAUCAAGGACAUGACCAUCGACCCGGACAAGGUCAACGUCAACGGCGGCUCCAUCGCCAUGGGCCAUCCCUCGGCGCGACCGGUUGCGCAAUCCUCGGCACGCUGCUCGAUGAGCUGGAAGCCCGCCGCCUGCGCUAUGGCCUGGCGACCUUGUGUGUCGGCGGCGGCAUGGGCAUUGCCACCAUCAUCGAACGCCUCUGAGCCCCCGAUUUUCAGGAAAACAAGAGCCAUGAACGAAGCAAUCCGUUACGAAAAAGGGCAGGACCAGAUCGUCGUCCUGACCAUCGACAUGCCGGGCCAGAGCGCCAACACCAUGAACGCGGUCUACCGUGAGGCCAUGGCUGCCUGCGUCGCCCGUUUGGUGGCUGAAAAAGACAGCAUCGCCGGCGUCAUCAUCACCUCGGCCAAGAAAACGUUUUUCGCCGGUGGCGACCUGAAUGAACUGAUCAAGGUCGGCAAGCCUGAAGCCAAAGCGUUCUAUGACAUGGUGCUGAUGCUGAAGGGCCAGUUACGCACCCUGGAAACCCUGGGUAAACCUGUCGUCGCCGCGAUCAACGGCGCGGCGCUGGGCGGUGGCUGGGAAAUCUGCCUGGCAUGCCAUCACCGCGUGGCACUGGACAAUUCAUCGGUGCAGCUCGGUUUGCCGGAAGUCACCCUCGGCCUGUUGCCGGGCGGCGGCGGGGUGGUGCGCAUGGUGCGCAUGCUCGGUCUGGAAAAAGCCUUGCCGUAUCUGCUUGAAGGCAAGAAGGUCCGCCCACAGCAAGCCUUGCAGGCGGGGCUUAUCGAUGAACUGGCAUCGGAUGGCGAAGAGCUGCUGGCCAAGGCUCGAGCCUGGAUCAUCGCCAACCCAGUGGCUGUGCAGCGCUGGGACGUGAAGGGCUAUCAGAUACCGGGCGGUACGCCAUCGAAUCCUAAAGUCGCGCAGAUGCUGGCGAUAGCGCCGUCGAUCCUGCGCACUAAAACCCAGGGCUGCCUGCCCGCGCCGGAGAAAAUUCUUUGCGCGGCGGUUGAGGGCGCGCAGGUGGAUUUCGAUACCGCGCACCUGAUCGAAACCCGUUAUUUCACAGAGCUGACCACCGGCCAGGUCUCGAAGAACCUGAUCGGCACCUUCUGGUUCCAGCUCAACGAGAUCAAUGCGGGCGGCUCGCGGCCUCACGGCUUUACACCUUAUGUGACACGUCGCGUGGGCGUUUUGGGCGCCGGGAUGAUGGGCGCCGGGAUUGCUUUUGUCAGCGCAUCGGCGGGCAUCGACGUGGUGCUCAAGGACAUCAACCUCGCGGCAGCGGAGAAGGGCAAGGCACAUUCGGCGGCAUUGCUGGACAAGAACGUUGCCCGCGGCCAGUUGAGCGCCGAGCAGCGCGAUGCAGUGCUGGCGCGAAUUAAAACCACCGAAAAGGAUGCCGAUCUGGCCGGCUGCGAUCUGAUCAUUGAAGCCGUGUUCGAAGAUCGCGAACUGAAAGCCAAAGUCUCUUCCGCCGCGCAACUUAUCGUUGGCCCUGACGCAGUGAUUGCUUCCAACACGUCGACCUUGCCUAUCAGCGGUCUCGCCACCGCCGUACCGGACCAGAGCAAGUUCAUCGGCCUGCAUUUCUUCAGCCCCGUGGAAAAAAUGCCCUUGGUGGAAAUCAUCAAAGGCGCCCACACCAGUGACGAAACCCUGGCCCGAGGGUUCGAUUUCGUACUGCAAAUCAAGAAAACGCCGAUUGUGGUCAACGACAGUCGUGGCUUUUUCACUUCUCGAGUGUUCGGCACCUUCACCAACGAAGGCAUUGCCAUGCUUGGCGAAGGCGUGAGCGCAGCGAUGAUCGAGACCGAAGCCCGCAAGGCUGGCAUGCCGAUCGGGCCUCUGGCGAUCUCCGA